RNAcentral lists this ribosomal RNA (253 nucleotides) under uncultured bacterium. RNAcentral describes it as "partial 16S ribosomal RNA". It matches the Rfam family "Bacterial small subunit ribosomal RNA", at positions 524 to 776 of the family's 1533-position model. The record is from RNAcentral.
UACGAAGGGGGCUAGCGUUGCUCGGAAUUACUGGGCGUAAAGCGCACGUAGGCGGAUUGUUAAGUCGGGGGUGAAAUCCUGGAGCUCAACUCCAGAACUGCCUUCGAAACUGGCGAUCUUGAGUUCGGGAGAGGUGAGUGGAACUGCGAGUGUAGAGGUGAAAUUCGUAGGUAUUCGCAAGAACACCAGUGGCGAAGGCGGCUCACUGGCCCGAUACUGACGCUGAGGUGCGAAAGCGUGGGGAGCAAACAGG